CAUGGCAGGAGGAGGCCAUCCAGCUCCCUGUGCCACAGGUAGGCCAUCAGGCUACAGCACUGUUCCUCUGCUCCAAACUGCCCCUGGGAUGCUGGAACAACGUGACCUUGAAACACGACCAUUGAUACAUCCUGCGGCCCAAGGGAUAUCAAAGCACAUGGCCAAAGAGAGCCCUCAGAGACCCUCAGAGCAUUUUACUUCACCCUUAAAAUGGAGCAUAGAUUCUCUCCAUGAAGAAAGAAAUGAAAUAAAAGCAGAGACAGGGCUAUACCUUGAAACACAGGCACCUGGGGACUGCUGCCACCUUCUGCAGCUGUGUCUGCACACUUACAGGUUUAUUACUGCUUUCCUGCCUUUUGAAAUGUGACGCUGCAAUGCUUGGGGCUGGGAAAACCACUUUGUGAUUGCAUUUAAACAUUUUAAAUGUACCCUGUAUGCGUCCAAUCUCCCACGAGGCACAUGUAAUGUGAAAGAGCCUUCUGAGGAGUGAGAGGCAGAGCAGUUAUCUCAGCAUUUUGCACGUCUUGUUCAAUUUGUACUUAAUGAGAGUGAGAGUGCUUUUUCACCGUUUCUGUUCUUUAGACCAAUUCAUCUGUUCAUCAGUGGAUGCGGGCGUAAGUGCACAAAGGUAUUUGCAUGUCAGUGAGGAUUUAAAAAAAUGCCUGAGCUACAGUGAGCCAUCAUAUCUUGCAGUUAAAUUCCGUGUCCCUGAUGGAUUUCCCCACGCUGUUGCUAGGAGAUGAAGGUACUGCCUAACAAAGGAUAUAUUGACAAAAAAUUUUCCAGAACGAAUCUAUCUUGUUACAGUAAAUACACUCUCACAUAAAAAGGAUAUUGCAGGAUUUGUUUCCCCAGUGGUGGCAUGGGCAAAAUUGCACACACCAAGUUAAGCUCAGAGAUGAUCCCACAGCUGGACAGAAAAAUAUGAGUGAGGAAGGACACAGCACAGCAAGUCUGCAGCUGCUUGAUUUUCAACUCUCAUUAUCAGUCCCCUUUUCUGUGCAGGCUUGAAUCAGCAUGCAGUAAGUUGGUCAAAUGCAGCUGAACUCCGUGGCCCCUUAACUCUUCCCACAGGGCAUCAUGCUUACCAGUCAGGCAACAGAGAGGAAUCCAUGUCUCCAUCAGCAAAGGGCAGGUAGCGCUGGGAGGCUCCAGCUGCAAAGCAAAGCAGCAACAGUGAGAUCUGGAGGUGAGAUGGAAAAUUGGGCCCUUCCUAACGCUUGUAUUUGACCUAGAAGUAAAGCUAAUUGUGAUUUAAAAUCCAGGUGCCCUUAUUUGUCCUUUGCUGAGGGCAAGAUUUGAGACUAGAAAGACUAAAUUUAGGUUCUAAACCCCCCAUUUAGGUGCUGAAAUAAGCCGCUUUCCUAGAACCUGCUGGCUGAUUACUAGCAGCAAAGAUCGAGCUACUAAUCUUGGUGGCUAAAACGGAUUUAGGAGCCUAACAUUAGACAUUUGAAGCAAGCUGACAUUGAGUUUUAGCCCAUUCCUGAUUUAUAUGCUUUUAUUUUUGCGGAUUUUUUUUCAAAGUGCAAGCACUGGACUGCAUGGUUUUCCAUAUGUCCUGUCUUAUGAGCAACUGGUUGCAAAAUGUUUGCCCUUGAAUAUCUACAGCCCAAGCUGCAAAGUUACACUGCAGCGUUUGGAAUGUGUGGGCUGGGGGCUGCCAACAGCUCUGUCCACUUCCACUGACCAAGGAAAAGUAUCUGGCAAAAAAAAAAAAAAAAAAAAGAAGAAAAAAAAAGAAGACAAAAGGUGACAAAUCAAACCGAGGGAGAUUUUCCACAACUGAAGUAAUUUUCCAUGGUCAUUGGAGAAAGAACAUCAGCCAGCUACAAAUGUGUGAGAACCAUCUUCGUAUUUCAUUCCCGGCCAACUAGUUCUCUUGUUGUUUUUACGGUCUCUGAGAGAGUAAUGUAGCCUGUGAGACCUUGGUUGUGUAGGUUUGCCAGAUACAGUUGGAACCUACUCCAGGUAGCCAUAUAUUGCGUGUACCAGAAGUGAGGAAAAACGUACUUGUUAAUAGUGCAGGCACAAAGGGGAGAAAUUAAUUUUGAACGUAUGAAGAUGCAGCAGAGGUGGGGGAGGAACAAACAACUGAAAUAGUGAUCCUUUUUGCAAGGAAAUGGAAGGCAUGUCAGAACUAUUGAGACCUGGGAAACAAAAUGUUAAAUGUCUUGCAGCAUUGAAAGCAAGACAAAAGAAAAUGUGUUUAGCCAAAUCCUUGGCUCUGUUGCACUACAGAAGGUUAAGUGUAAGUGCCUUCUCUUUUAAUUAAUGUGACAGGUCUAUUUGUAAU
Molecule: non-coding RNA, 2296 nt
Organism: Coturnix japonica (Japanese quail)
Lineage: Eukaryota; Metazoa; Chordata; Aves; Galliformes; Phasianidae
Source: RefSeq, a predicted model, not a curated record